CAACCGGCUUUUUUCAAAGCCACCCAUUUCACAAAUGAUUCUCACU
This is a non-coding RNA of Amphimedon queenslandica, 46 nucleotides long. The record is from Rfam. NCBI's taxonomy places the organism in Eukaryota, Metazoa, Porifera, Demospongiae, Haplosclerida, Niphatidae.